RNAcentral lists this ribosomal RNA (1370 nucleotides) under uncultured bacterium. Its description in RNAcentral is "bacterial SSU rRNA". It matches the Rfam family "Bacterial small subunit ribosomal RNA", at positions 28 to 1381 of the family's 1533-position model. The record is from RNAcentral.
GAUGAACGCUGGCGGCGUGCCUAAUACAUGCAAGUCGAGCGAACGGACGAGAAGCUUGCUUCUCUGAUGUUAGCGGCGGACGGGUGAGUAACACGUGGAUAACCUACCUAUAAGACUGGGAUAACUUCGGGAAACCGGAGCUAAUACCGGAUAAUAUUUUGAACCGCAUGGUUCAAAAGUGAAAGACGGUCUUGCUGUCACUUAUAGAUGGAUCCGCGCUGCAUUAGCUAGUUGGUAAGGUAACGGCUUACCAAGGCAACGAUGCAUAGCCGACCUGAGAGGGUGAUCGGCCACACUGGAACUGAGACACGGUCCAGACUCCUACGGGAGGCAGCAGUAGGGAAUCUUCCGCAAUGGGCGAAAGCCUGACGGAGCAACGCCGCGUGAGUGAUGAAGGUCUUCGGAUCGUANAACUCUGUUAUUAGGGAAGAACAUAUGUGUAAGUAACUGUGCACAUCUUGACGGUACCUAAUCAGAAAGCCACGGCUAACUACGUGCCAGCAGCCGCGGUAAUACGUAGGUGGCAAGCGUUAUCCGGAAUUUAUGGCGUAAGCGCGCGUAGGCGGUUUUUUAAGUCUGAUGUGAAAGCCCACGGCUCACCCGUGGAGGGUCAUUGGAAACUGGAAAACUUGAGUGCAGAAGAGGAAAGUGGAAUUCCAUGUGUAGCGGUGAAAUGCGCAGAGAUAUGGAGGAACACCAGUGGCGAAGGCGACUUUCUGGUCUGUAACUGACGCUGAUGUGCGAAAGCGUGGGGAUCAAACAGGAUUAGAUACCCUGGUAGUCCACGCCGUAAACGAUGAGUGCUAAGUGUUAGGGGGUUUCCGCCCCUUAGUGCUGCAGCUAACGCAUUAAGCACUCCGCCUGGGGAGUACGACCGCAAGGUUGAAACUCAAAGGAAUUGACGGGGACCCGCACAAGCGGUGGAGCAUGUGGUUUAAUUCGAAGCAACGCGAAGAACCUUACCAAAUCUUGACAUCCUUUGACAACUCUAGAGAUAGAGCCUUCCCCUUCGGGGGACAAAGUGACAGGUGGUGCAUGGUUGUCGUCAGCUCGUGUCGUGAGAUGUUGGGUUAAGUCCCGCAACGAGCGCAACCCUUAAGCUUAGUUGCCAUCAUUAAGUUGGGCACUCUAAGUUGACUGCCGGUGACAAACCGGAGGAAGGUGGGGAUGACGUCAAAUCAUCAUGCCCCUUAUGAUUUGGGCUACACACGUGCUACAAUGGACAAUACAAAGGGCAGCGAAACCGCGAGGUCAAGCAAAUCCCAUAAAGUUGUUCUCAGUUCGGAUUGUAGUCUGCAACUCGACUACAUGAAGCUGGAAUCGCUAGUAAUCGUAGAUCAGCAUGCUACGGUGAAUACGUUCCCGGGUCU